GUGGCUAUGGCUCAGUGGUAGAGCACUUGCCUAGCAUGUUGAGGCACUGGAUUAGAUUCUCAGCACCACAUAUAAAAUAAAAUAAAUUAAAUAAAGGUCCAUGGCUGAGGAUGUGGCUCAAGUGGUAGCGUGCUCGCCUGGCAUGCAUGCGGCCUGGGUUCGAUCCUCAGCACCACA
This 177-nucleotide transfer RNA is filed under the name Marmota monax (woodchuck). Its description in RNAcentral is "tRNA.Ala". The record is from RNAcentral. Lineage: Eukaryota; Metazoa; Chordata; Mammalia; Rodentia; Sciuridae.